RNAcentral lists this ribosomal RNA (199 nucleotides) under uncultured bacterium. RNAcentral describes it as "partial 16S ribosomal RNA". It matches the Rfam family "Bacterial small subunit ribosomal RNA", at positions 1302 to 1500 of the family's 1533-position model. The record is from RNAcentral.
AGGCUGCAACUCGCCUGCAUGAAGUUGGAAUUGCUAGUAAUCGCGAAUCAGAAUGUCGCGGUGAAUACGUUCCCGGGCCUUGUACACACCGCCCGUCACACCAUGAGAGUCGAUAACACCCGAAGCCUGUGAGCUAACCGUAAGGAGGCAGCAGUCGAAGGUGGGGUUGAUGAUUGGGGUGAAGUCGUAACAAGGUACC